ACAAAGGGCAGGCCGCAGGGUGCGACAGGGCUCCCCGCCCGGAGCUGAGACGUGCCCCACCCCGAAGGCGCACAGCCACUGUGGAGGAGACGGGCACAAAGGAAGCCCUGGGGGCGCGGGGACCGAGAAGGAGGGAAUGAAUAGCCUCUGGAAUGCGCCCGAGCGUCAGGCUUGAUAAAACCUUUCCCCGGGCAGCAUUUCCUUCUACCCGCUCUUCUGAAGCUCAAGUCAGUUAAGCUAGGGGCAGAUGUAUUUAUACCACGUGGAGGCUUUUGAUGCAUGUUGCCAAACAGAAGGUCCACCAGUUUACACUUGUUCUCUGCGGGAAGUAGUCCUUGCCUUUAUGCCAUGGAGCAAACAAUGCCAAUUUAAGCAUAUCUGCGAGAGAAACUAUGAUGCUAUCAGGCCAGUGGAAGGGACAGCUGAACAGGUAGAGAAAGGCAGACUGCCAUGUGCAGCUCCUCAUGUGUCUGGAGCCUUGGAAGCUGACUUGCCUACUUCCUCCUCCAUAUGGAUCUCAGGAGCUUGUAUGGAGGUUCUAUCGGGGGCUCAGCUACCUGGAUACCCUUGACCAAAGAACCAUCCUCCUCCAUUAGGGUAGGCCAAUCUCACUUCAGAAUAAUCUAAAUUAAAUAGUAGAAAAUCUUAUCUAAUAGUAUAGUACAACAUCACUAAGAAAGGCUCAAACAAAUUCCACAAUGGCUGAAUAUUAGCAAAUGUGUUACUGCAAACCAGGGGCUCCUUGAGGAGAACAAGUAGGCUUGGUGCUCAGUCCCAGGCCCUCUAGCUAUGCUGGCAUCUGGGUUUGUCCUUACCCACUCUUCUUUCUCCAGAAACUUAGGGCUACAGCCUUCUUGGCUAGGGACCUCCCCUGGGGUAAGCCAAGCUGCUGAGAGCCUCUAAUAGGUCCCAGGCCUUGGACCCUGGGAAAGGAAACCAAAAUCCAAGAAUGGGAGAUGGAGAAAAUAAAAAAAGAAAGAAAGCAUCUUAGAUAUUAAGAGAAUGGGUAGAACUCUUCCUGUACCCAAUAAUAAUGAUGAUGGUGAUGAUGAUGAUGAUGAUGAUAAUAAUAAUAAUAAUAGAGGGGGUGAGAAGUACUCGGGAAGAGGGAUGCUCAGGUGAACAUAGGUGCACAGACUCUGAGGAAAGGGAGCAGCUUCUGACAGGUGGGUGUCCAGAGCACCAGUUCAGGCAGCUUCCCAGGGAAACACAUGAUGCUAAGACCAGAGCUUGGGAAAGACUGCAAUCAUGACAUUAUCUUAUUAAGAUGAUAUAGCAUCUGGGGGUAUAGCUCAGGGGUAGAGCAUUUGACUGCAGAUCAAGAGGUCCCUGGUUCAAAUCCAGGUGCCCCCUGUGUCAUUUGGCUUUUACUCCAGUAGAAGUAUAGCUCCUUGUCAUCCUGCAGGCCCAGCCUCAUGGAAUCUAAAUCUCCAAGACAGGGGUAGAGACUUAAGAUUCCUUUUAUAACAUUUCUUGUGGGUUUCAUUUUUUACCUCCUCAGCCAUACUCAUUUGCUGGAGGGGGCAGAGGAAGCCUGUCCUAGGUUUUCUCUGUGUUUCCCUGGUGCCUAAUUAUUACCAUCCUGAUUUUAUUUGUUUAUACCAAGCUUGCUUCAAAAAACUAGGAUCUGAGGCAGCUUGCAAUAAAAGUCCAACUAAUCAAGCAAGUAUAAAAAAUCAAGGGCUGACUUAUAUGAGGCAGUCAAAAUCAUAGAGACAGAAAGAAGGACAGGUGCCAGGGGCUGAAAGUGAAUGAAGAGUUACUGAUUAAUGGGGACAGAGUUUCAGUUUGGGAAGAUGAAAAAGUUCUGGAGAUGGAUAGUGGUGA
Molecule: long non-coding RNA, 1827 nt
Organism: Hipposideros armiger (great roundleaf bat)
Lineage: Eukaryota; Metazoa; Chordata; Mammalia; Chiroptera; Hipposideridae
Exons: 4
Source: RefSeq, a predicted model, not a curated record